AGCAGAUUAGUAUGAAGCAAACCAUCAAACUGCAUCACGGUCUCUUCAAACUAGCUUUUCAUCCACAGCUGAAGUGCUGGAAAACAGUGAUGUUAGUCUGUGAGGCCAAGUCCAGGUGUGCAGGACAUAUUGCCAAAUCCCCAAAGGGUAACUUCAAGGGUUGCAUGCGUUUUUCCACAGUUAAAAGUAAAGAUUGAUCAUCUCAUAGCAUCGUUGUCACUAGAAAUAAGCACUUUUCGAUUUCUCUGGGCAGCGAGACAUUGCAGCAAAGCCAGCUUUACUGUCCUCCAAAGUGCGUUAUUCAGCCAGCUGUUGCCCACAUAUUUUUAUAAAUGCACUCGCCGUGUACUUGCACAUGAAGAAAGGAUGUUCAUUCAAAAGUGGUAUAUUACGGACGAUGAUUCAUUAUAUACCUAUUGUACCAUUUAUAAGGGACUGUAAAAGAAUGCGUUGGACAGACAACCGGUGAACAGUCAGAGCAACAGAAUGGUUACCAAGGGGCUGGAAACGCAGUUGAGGAAAGCAAAGAGUUAGAUGGAAUGGCGAAAUUGAGAAUUUCACAGGGAUAAAAUGGAAUCGGCUUGCACAGGAUAGGAUGAACUGGCAAUCACUGGGAGAGACUUUCGUCCUGCAGUCGACUAAAACAGGCUGAGAAUGAUGAUGAUGGUGAGGACACUGCUCAGAGCAUAGUAUAAUAGAUUGGGCCAAUGGUCAGAGGAGUGAGUUAGGUAGCCUCGGGAAUUAUAUCAAAGCUCAGAGCAAAAAUUGAGAAAGCUCAAACAAAGAAGCUCAAGAAAUAGCGCGGUGCCUCCUUUUAAUGGUGUCUCUCUCGUUUUUAACUAUUUCUCGAAUGCAGGUGCGAUGCAUGUAAACAAGAUUUCCUUGUUCAGCAUGUUUUUCUUUUUCUCUUUUUGCACUUUUCAUCAUGGAGUGUUGCCUUUUAUCAAACAUCUCAGUGUAAAUUACUUGCAAGUUCUUUAUUGAAAACUGUCACGAUAGCGAGCUGAGUUUCAAGUUGAAAGGAAAGUCCAUCCCCGGUUCAAUGCUCUGGCAUCUCAUGAUAUUCGAGGUGACAUGCUUCUCGGCCACAUGUAGUGUGUAUGCUUGGAGACCUACCAUUGGAUGAUCACAUCUGACAUAGGUUUCUUUAUGAUAGUUAAUAACUCUUUAUGAUAUAUACACUGUAUAUAUAUUUUUCUAAAUGCUCUUUUUUUUUUUUCCUGGCAUUGUGUCUCAUGUCAUGGUUCUCAAGCCUACGGCUAUGCAAACUGUUCACAUUUGAUUGAGGCAUCUUGUGUAAAAAACCGGAUGACAUUGUGCACGAUUCACAAACACUAGAACAGUCAUACAUUUGAGGCUUUGAGGCCACUGGUACAUUGAGUGGCCGAUUAAAAACACUGGUGUUGCUGGAGUGGGAAAUAAAAAUUGUGCUAAUGAUGUACUGCUUCAAAUACUGUCGAAGCCAGAAGUUUAGACCAGCGUCAACUGGCAAUGUACGUGACAAAGGACAAAAAAAAUAGACAGGUUUUAUUUUAGUCCCUGCAAACAACGCAGCUGCACAAAGAUUAGCCAAGCUUGUCAGGCAUGCACAUGGAGAAGGUGGUCGUUAAAGGCCCCUUUGAGAACUCUGGAAGCAUGGCGGCCAGAUUAACUUCCAACAUGCAGAGUAAAAGAACACGAAUCCGAGACAGCAGGAGUUGUUUGUUUGGCAUUGUGCAGUAGAACCUCGUUGGUACGGUUCUGUCUUCUGCAAUUUCCCGGUGCCAACGUUCUCGAUCGGGAACACAAAAAGUGACGUUAUGUCCAGAAGUACAGCUUUUGGGGCUAGUUGGUUAGAUCAGUUUGAAGGGGUCAUAAUGGACAAGGAAGACCGAUGAAAGAAGCGCUAGCUUUCAGCUGAUUGUUUAUUUUCGAAAAGCGCGAUAAUUAUGAUCCCAUCAUCACACAUGAAAAGGAGCAGCAUCCAGAUAAGUCAUUUUGCGUCACUUUGGGCAACAGAAGGGCAGCUGAUGCAGAUAUCACCUGGCCCAGCCCUCAGAGCUGAAGCAAUGAACUAUAACGAACACUGUUGAGUGCAGUGCAGGCCCGCAUGACCACACCAUGUACUGAAUGCAUGCAAUUUGGGCAAGCCGAGAAAAUAGUGGUUUCAUUGCGUGCCCUGCGUUAUACGUUUUUUACGUCGUCUGCCUGUAGACGCUGUGUAGUUUAAAUAUUGAAGCAAGUGACAGCAUGUGCACUUUCUGCUCCUGGCACUGCCAACAUCGUGGCAGUCAUCGAGUGAACCGUUAUGUUUUUCACAUUACAACACGCUUUAGUGUGCAAGCUGACGUUUACUGCACCUUACACUGUCAGUAACACCAUGAGUCUAAAUCUUCGUGCAGUAGUAAAAUUCAUUGAUAUCUCAAGUGGAGUUCUAUCAAAGCUUCGCUUUUUAGCCGGUACUGCACGAUCUUUUAGUGACCGUGGAUUGUACAUUUUCCCGGAUAGUGCAAUUCUUGUCGCAUUUUUUUUUUUCAAGAACGUAUGAACGAGGUUCUGCUGUAUAAGGCUAAUUUAUUGCUACAGUCAAAAUUGUUUUUUCUCCUAGAUGUUCCUCCAAGUUGAGUGUGCAGAAGAGUGGCGCAUCUUUAUAGUGCCUGUAACCGAACACGGAGUUUUAUCCAAGGGCACAGGCUUUCUGAUGCCAAUGUUUCAACGUGUAUAGGGGGACGGGUGAUUUUGUACAUACCUACUCGUCCCUGUGUUGGAAGGCAGCUGCUCGUGCAUGUCGCUCACACUUUUGAAGGGAAGCUCCCUCGCCUACUCUUGCAUUGUUCGACAUAGAUGAGUGUGUCUUGCCAAGUGGUGACUAAAAGAAUGUUAAGCACGUCCCGACUGAAGAAGGGAGGGAAGUCGAAGGGCGCCCACCUUGCCUCUAAUCACGGAAAUGAAGAUCAAGUGCACGCUAGUUUGCUCUGAUAAAACCCAGUAGGAUUGCAGUGCCAGCCGUAUUGUCAUUGCGCAUCGCAAUUCGUGCUCCCGUUUGCACCACAUCCAACUGGAUGCAUGUGUGUGUAUGCUUGUGUAUUUGUGUGUGUAGAGUCAUGAGUAGCAUGAUGGAACACUGAAUUCGUGUUUAACCAAUGAUUACUUGUAAUGUACUGACAUGAAUGUGACGUACUGAAUCGCAAGAGAUACCUUUCCGCUGGAGCAUUUAGUGUUAUGGACACUUUUGUGCUUGCCAGCUGUGUUUCUUCUUAUAUUACUCACAACUGUACAUGGUAUACAGACUGUGCUUGAGGGCUGCAAAGGACAGUACCUCCACUCUUCAAGACAAGUGUGUGUACAAAAUAAGGCAUUACUUUUCGGUCUAAAGGUGUGCAAUGUUCCUCAUGGCGAGGUGCUGCGUUUGGACCCUUGCAGCACGCGCUAUGUGGCCACGCAAGUGACCUUGCAUGAUCUUGGUGAAAGUGCACUCACGAGCAAUCGCAUAGUAACCUGUAGCACAGGCAUAAAUGCAGGCAUGAAUAUGCAAGAACUUACAAACUCAUACAUCGGCAAACAUAUGCGCGUGCGUUUCCAACAAGAUCUGUGUCAUUUAGAUUCCAGCGCUUUCUUAUAUAUUUGUUAAUGUCCUUGUUGGUUCAGUGGCUGAUGUUCAUGGUUUUGGUUUGCCACUUGGUGGAGAGUUUGCCGCAGGAUUUGCAUUUCUGCAGUGUGUAAUUUGGUGAGUGGCGUCUUGUGCCAUGCUCCCAGCGUUGCUUAGCUGCAUGAAUUACGUCCAUGCCUGCACCAUUGUCUAUACCAAGAAAGGCAAAGUGCAGCUCUAGUGCAUAGGUGCUUAAUUUCAAAGAGCAAUACAAUUGUUGUUUCUUCGUUUGUAGUGUAACACAGUGACUAUAACUUGUUUUCAUAAUGGGCAAAUCAAUGAAGCGUCACGCUCGUGUGUAAUUUUGAUUGCAAUGCGAUUUUGUGCACAGCCCUAAGUAAUGUGGAGUAGUAGUACACCUGGGAAUGUAGCGAUUCAAAUGUACCCAGACUUUUCUUCAGUAGCGUAGCAUCGUUUUUCAUGUUUUCUGUGAGGUUCUACAAACUAUUGUUUGGGUCCUUUGCCAUUAAUAUCGGGGAUAACAUAAAGUACAACAGACUCCUCGUGAGAAAAAGAUUUAAAGGGGCCCUGCAACACUUUUUUGAACAUGAUCAUAAAAUGCUACGGAUUGGUAGUCGAAGGUCCUGCAAACAUGCGAGCCAAACAUUAUAGUGCAGCACAAGGCAGGGAAUUUACAAUUUCCAAGUCAGCUAGAAAUUGCUCGCUCUUCUCUCAACAAAUGAUGCCAUAUACUCUCAAAAUCAAGUGCAUCACGUACCCGAGAGACAUGAACAUUGGCUGAUUUGAAGAUUGUGAGCUGCAUAGAUACCUCGGCUGCUGCGGUGUGCCGCUGCAUGCCCUCGCCGUGGCACGUCACGACGCGGAGAAGUGAGCCGCACGUAAUGUCUAUACGUUGGCUGCGCGUCCUUUCAAAGAAAACAAGAAAUUGCUCAAGGUCGUGAAACGCGCUGACGUGCGGAUGUAGCUUCUUGCCCCCAGUUUUUUAAAGUGUUUUAGAGCGUCCGACAAAUCCUUGUAACUCCGCUUGUACUUAACGGAUUCUAAAAUUUUUUGCGGCCGUCGAUUCGUGACGUAAUAAACUCUGAUAGCGAGGUCAUUUGAUGAUUACUUGGAAACGUUUUGCAGGGCACCUUUAAGAAGCCAUGGAAAUCUGUUUCCAAUGUCAGAAGUUUGGGUUAACAGAGAUGCACUUGGCAUGUGCUGAACGUAUGUCUGUGAACUGCUCAACUUAUCAGGCAGUUCAGUUUUAACAGGGUUUGCUCUAAAGAGAGUUCGCUUAAGUGCUGACUACAGGGUCGCUUUGUACUGCAUUCUUGUGUGUUCCUGUGAUCUAACGAAAACCGGUACGUUAUACGUGGCCUUCUUUUUUUUUUGUUAUUCCUGUCAUAUUUGUACUUUUUUCCCGGGCCACUUGACCUUGUAGCUUCUGUGGUACGAUCCAGUAUGUUUUCCGUGUACAAGCCUAACUAAACUAGAGUGCUAUCGAAAAAGUGUAGGUUUUUGUUUGUUGGGAUGAAAGAAAUUUGCUGCAGGAUAGUGCAAGGUAAUUGAUUUUUGAUAGCUGUUUGAAAUCCUGCCCGGUGCAUUGAGGGUAUGACGGAGGUUGUCUUGCCAUGACAACUCACCAUGACAAAUUAUUACUACAGCUCUUUUAAUGUCUGCAUCCAUGAUAUGACAAAGGUAAAACAAACAACAGUGUUUGCCGUGUUGUCUUGUUUGCCUGAGUGAUGUAAUGAACAGUGGCAUUACCAUAUGUUGUUGCCAGUUGGAUGGAGCAGAAAGUUCAUAACAAGCCGUUUGUAUUGGAAGAAAAGUGUUUCUUUCGUGGUGAACUUAUUUCACUAAGCUGGAUAUUUGACAAAGAAAGAGCUUUUUUAAUGUGGUCAGGGUUUGAUUUGUAAUUGCAGACAUGACGAGGUCACUUGAAAUCUGUGCACUAAUAUGUCAGUAAGGAAAUACCAAUCCGAGUCCGGUUGCAAUAGCAUUUCUGGAAGAUAUAAUUUGUGUGCCACAAUUUUUAAGUGCUUGAAGCUCCACAUUCUUCUACUGCGGUGGCUCUUGAGCAGAAGCCUUUUUCAACAUCUCACGUUCAGCAUUAAUUAUAAGUUUCAAGGAAGGCUGGAACUGUGGCCAUCACUGCGGCCAUUUCCCAAAUUGAUGACUUUAUAGCAUAUGUUCCACAGCAAGAACUUCUAAAUGAACACCAGUGGGAUGGCUUUCUGCGCUCACAUCCUGUCCGACUCAUUUCAUUGUGAAUGAGUGUCAGAGGAGAAAUGGUUCAAAUGUAGCCACAAUUAGAGCGAGUACUCUACAGAAGGUGUAUUUUCAAAAGUAGAGAGUGUGGCAUUUUUUUGUCAUGUGCUGUUUUUUCCAUCAGUUUGACAAUGCUGGCUGAAGCAAUUUAGGGGCUGCAUUGAUGUCAUAUAUUCAUGUAAAAGCUAACGGUAUCUUUAACAUGACAGGCAGAAGAAAGUUGGCUGGUCAGAUGAGAAGGGACAGCAGUUGUGUUCAUUUUGCCAUUUUCCUUUUGUCCGUUGUGUUCAAAAUGCAAUUGUUUCUUUACUUAUAUAAUCACUAGUCCUGCUAUACCAAUCAUGUUAUCUUUUGUCAUGGAUAUUGAGACAUGCAGUCAGCUUGCAAUAAUUCAAAAUUUCGGAGACAGUACGCUUUUCUUUCAGCUACACUUAGAAUUAUUGUUUAAGGAGAUCGACUGGCAACUGCUGGGUGUAAUGGUGUCAAACGAGAAAUAACUGUAUACCCUGUGAGCGCAGGACGUUCAGACUGCAAACGCACGACCAUGGCAGCAGUAUGCAGAAAUUUACAGCUGCUUGAUUGUGAGGCAAGGUCAGAGUGGUGCUGUUUAUGCCUAACAAGUAAAUGUCCCAUGGCCAGCCAUUUCCUUUUCUACAUUGCUUUGUGCAUGAGCAGACCAAGAGUUCCUACUGACCAACAGCCUCAUAAAAAUUAAUGUGAUUGCAAAAUGCACGCAAAAGAUUGUAGGUGAACACAAGAGGUACAAGGAGACUAGAAAGGCUUUCAGCAGGUACAAAUCGUGAGUAGUGAACAGCUGCCAAUAUUGUACAAUGUUGUUCUGUUACUUUAUUUAUGACUGCCAUGUGCACUGUGAAAGCAGGCCUCGAGGGCUAUGCUGCAUCUCUUUACAGUUAAGAAAAUAUUGAAGUGGCUUUUGUUAAUAUAGUGUGCUUGUAAGGCUGAAGAGCUUGUUGUUUCACAUGCAGAAAUCGGAUGUGCUAGGGACACCAAGUGCACUGAGGGCAGUGGUUUGUGGGAAAAGAUUUGGGAGGAUUUGUUCAGGUUAGCUGGCAUGGUGAAUUAUCAAUGUUCGACUUAUUGCAGGUUGACCAUAGUUGAAGCAUACCUACUCCAUGCUGUGUCUAGUUUAUGUGGCAAGCUUUCAUCCCAACUCCAUUACCCCUCCAUCUUGUUUGUUCGUGCAUUAAACAGACUUCGGCAUGACUAUAUUUGCAUCAAACCUUGGAGUGCGCUAGUUUUUGUUUAAAAGUUAUUCUAAGUGAAGUACAAAAAAAAAAUGAAAAAAGAAAAACCUUACAAACUCUUGUUGCUCGUUAGUGCUAAGUGUGUCAGCCAUCACACAUCAGAAGUAUGUUAUUUUCGUUACUUCACUUACUACAGACGUGUGCAGACGUGUGUUUAUGUGCCUGUACACUUUUUCUUCCAUAAAAAAAAAGAAAUGUACAUAGUAGGGAGAGUCAUUUGUGGAAGUCAUCUAUGGCAUUUUUUUCUAAUUAACUAGUGCUACUCAUUGUCAAGAGGCUGCUACCAACUUUUGUUAUAAAUACGAAGUAUUUUUGCAGGCUAGUUACAUAAAAGUCAUGCGUUUCCUUUCUUUAUUUUUAAUUUUGUGUGCGUAAUUGUUUUGUGUGUUAUUGCAUGUUGAUGUUAUGCAUUGUUACAUGUGUGGAAAGAACCUAUGUAUAUAUUUUUUCUUAUUCUCUUUGUGGAACAGAGCUGCUGUUUGCAACAGAUCUGGGCAUGCUAGGCUUGCAAAAAGGGGGCUUUAUUUGUGCGCCUGUCAUAGCAGUCCUAAAAAAAUUGCUUCAACAUGAAUUGGAGAACAUGGUGGAACAUCAGCAUGUAGAACAGAGAACAGCCUAAGUUAUCAAGACACUUUUGCAUAGGCAACUUUGCCAAAAGAACAGAAAUAAAGUACUAACUCCCAGUGUCUAAUAAGGAAACGCAGUUGCGUCAGUAGCCAUUCAUUCGCUGAAUGUAUGUACAACUCGUGUGGGCCAUCGGCAUAGCUGCACGUUGCUCGUCUCGUCUCGCUGUAUCGCCUGUGAAGUUUGUUUGCAUCAAGUUUGUCCUUUAUCUGAUUGUGCUCAUAAGACGUAACAUAACAAAAAAUUUGAUAAUGUAUUGAUGUGUUUUGAGGACAGGCUGGCGUUGCGGAAGCUUAAGGCUGAGAAUGAUGACUUCACCUGCAGUAUGGUGAUCAGGUGGAAGCACUCCCAGGGAAAAUUUUUUCCUUUUUUUUCCCUUUUUUUCCCCCUUUUUUUUUAGUGCAGUGCAAGAAUUGUGCUGGCACGAAAUGUACAUUUAAAGGAAAUGCUAUUGUGAUGGAGACUGGUGGAUCAUAGAAACUGAAUUACAUAUGAAAACGAAUUACGUUUGUCAUCACUUGCCCGUAUUUCCAUAUUGCCAUACUUCCAAAACUUCCAUUAAUGAUAAUUUAAUAAUAUCAAAGAAUACCUAGAUCUUUUUAUCGGUGACCUCAGUAAGCAGUGUCGGGGCUCGGGCUACCUACCUUCAAGCUGACAAAAGGUAGUGAUCUUGUGAAUGAAACAAGAUUAAGAAUGCUUUUCAUGUUGGCUCACAAGUGCAUUACAAUCUGUUGUUUAUCUGUAAGGUGCGCAAAAUUCAUCCAAGUUUUAAAAAGCCAAUUUUUUUUAGAACACGCGCACUGCCAUGAUAGGCGCACAGAUUUGGUCAAAGCUCUGUAGUUGACAAGUCUAGCCGCUACCUCUUGUGGGAGUAUACUUUAAAAAAAAAUGUUUUGACGCUGCGGCCUUUUCCGCGAAACAACUCCAUUAGAAUUGUUGCGGAAGUCAUUGUUGGUUUUGCACAGGUUUGUUGACUCUGUGCAAUAUUGUUAAUUACGGCUGGUGAUUGCUGGUGCCCAGCAUUGUUGAGGCAUGUUCCUUGGUGUUAUUGAACUUACUGUGUGCUUUUUACUGUUGUUUGCUUUGUUUGAUUGUUUUCACCGAUCUCUGCAUUAAGGCACACCUGAAAAGAUAACAUAAACAGGUGUGUCGUGUCGAGCAUUGGGAAAAUGCGUGCUGUUUCAUAAUAGUAUUCAUUACAACUAAUCACAUUUUCACCAAUUCCGUUCACCUUUGUAAGUUCAAAACAUGUAGUUUCUUCGUUGGUGUUUCGGUUGAACCAUUGCAGUGGUUUGACAUACCUGAUUCUUUUCUGUGUUCUUUGCAUCAAGACUGUUUGGAUUGCUGUUCCAGUUUGCAGAAUACUGUAUCUGCUUUUUAUGUGUGACGGCUCCUUAAAAAGAAUGGCAAUAAAGAAUGAUAGUGUUCACAA
Molecule: long non-coding RNA, 9163 nt
Organism: Rhipicephalus sanguineus (brown dog tick)
Lineage: Eukaryota; Metazoa; Arthropoda; Arachnida; Ixodida; Ixodidae
Exons: 2
Source: RefSeq, a predicted model, not a curated record